CCGGCCUGCUUAUCUUGUGCGUUUUGCAGCGACUAUCAGUGAAAAUGCACAAGAGGAUUCCAGCGCUUGUUAUCUCUGUAGCUCCGAAAUGCGUUCUCCUGCUGUUUGCAUCUACUCUACAGACUGAUAUGAACGUCAUCCUUCUUUUUCAGCGUACCCAGAAUCCCCUGGGCUUUUGUGAUGGCCGAGGCCUGUGGUCUCAUCUUGUGUUACAUGUUUUUGUUGAUCCUGCUCCUUCACAAGCACAGGUCAAUUCUCCUCAGACGGCUGUGUUCUCUGAUGGGAACAGUGUUUUUGCUUCGGUGCUGCACCAUGUUUGUCACCUCGCUCUCUGUGCCUGGGCAGCACCUGAAAUGUGCCAGCCUGUCAUAUGGUGAUACCUGGGGGAAGAUCCAGAGAGCGCUGGCUA
Fundulus heteroclitus (mummichog) is the source of this 409-nucleotide long non-coding RNA. RefSeq lists it as uncharacterized. The transcript has 3 exons. NCBI's taxonomy places the organism in Eukaryota, Metazoa, Chordata, Actinopteri, Cyprinodontiformes, Fundulidae. The record is from RefSeq and is a predicted model, not a curated record.